Molecule: ribosomal RNA, 830 nt
Filed under: uncultured bacterium
Lineage: Bacteria
Description: partial 16S ribosomal RNA
Rfam family: Bacterial small subunit ribosomal RNA
Source: RNAcentral
GAACGGGGGGGGCGGGGUUAACCCAAUGAAGUCGAAGGAACCCCCUUUUUUUUUUUUUUUGGAAGGAAAAUUUUGGAAUGAAUGGGGGACCGGUGAUAACGGCGGGGGUACCUGCCUCAUUCCAGGGGGUACCAGUGGAAACGGUUGUUAUUCCCGCUAAGCGCACGUUUUCGCAUGAUCCAGGGGAAAAACUUCCGGUGGUAGGAGAUGACCCCGCGUGGGAUUAGCUAGUUGGUGGGUAACGAGCUACCAAGGCAACGAUCAGUACCCGACGUGAGAGGGUGACGGGCCACAUUGGGACUGAGACACGGCCCAAACUCUUACGGGAGGCAGCAGUGGGGAAUAUUGCACAAUGGGCGAAAGCCUGAUGCAGCGACGCCGCGUGAGCGAAGAAGUAUUUCGGUAUGUAAAGCUCUAUCAGCAGGGAAGAAGAAAUGACGGUACCUGACUAAGAAGCACCGGCUAAAUACGUGCCAGCAGCCGCGGUAAUACGUAUGGUGCAAGCGUUAUCCGGAUUUACUGGGUGUAAAGGGAGCGCAGGCGGUACGGCAAGUCUGAUGUGAAAGCCCGGGGCUCAACCCCGGUAUUGCAUUGGAAACUGUCGGACUAGAGUGUCGGAGGGGUAAGUGGAAUUCCUAGUGUAGCGGUGAAAUGCGUAGAUAUUAGGAGGAACACCAGUGGCGAAGGCGACUUACUGGACGAUAACUGACGCUGAGGCUCGAAAGCGUGGGGAGCAAACAGGAUUAGAUACCCUGGUAGUCCACGCUGUAAACGAUGAAUACUAGCUGUUGGGGAGCAUUGCUCUUCAGUGGCGCAGCAAACGCAAUAAG